GUGGGGAAUUUUGGACAAUGGGCGCAAGCCUGAUCCAGCCAUGCCGCGUGAGUGAAGAAGGCCUUCGGGUUGUAAAGCUCUUUCGGCCGGGAAGAAAUCGUGGUGGCUAAUACCUGCCAUGGAUGACGGUACCGGACUAAGAAGCACCGGCUAACUACGUGCCAGCAGCCGCGGUAAUACGUAGGGUGCGAGCGUUAAUCGGAAUUACUGGGCGUAAAGCGUGCGCAGGCGGUUGUGUAAGACAGGCGUGAAAUCCCCGGGCUCAACCUGGGAACUGCGCUUGUGACUGCACGGCUAGAGUACGGCAGAGGGGGGUGGAAUUCCACGUGUAGCAGUGAAAUGCGUAGAGAUGUGGAGGAACACCGAUGGCGAAGGCAGCCCCCUGGGUCGAUACUGACGCUCAUGCACGAAAGCGUGGGGAGCAAACAGGAUUAGAAACCCUAGUAGUCC
This 450-nucleotide ribosomal RNA is filed under the name uncultured bacterium. RNAcentral's name for it is "bacterial SSU rRNA". It matches the Rfam family "Bacterial small subunit ribosomal RNA", at positions 354 to 796 of the family's 1533-position model. The record is from RNAcentral.